CAAAAUCUCGAACAAGGAAGUCAAGCGGGGAAGCAUGAAGAUGAGCCUGACGGCAGAUGAAUCCCGAACGCUCUACUCUUUGCUAGCAGGAGGAGAUCACCGCCCAUUUACGGAUAUCAUCGCCGACUUCACCUCCAAGAUCUCUCGCACUCGUCACUUUGUUGCCUGUUAUUCGCUCGUUAUUCUGUUGGAGCCCAAGAAGUUGCUCCGUGCCACACAACGUUUAGUGGGAUUUUCCAUUCUUCACCAGACAUAUUCCUCGCAGAAAUCAUCUUUUAAUCCGUUUAUAUCUUUUAUUGUAAAUGCCGCUUCUGACGAGGAAGCUGAAAAAUAUGAGAGGGCAUUUGUUUUCCAGCUUUUAG
RNAcentral lists this unclassified non-coding RNA (362 nucleotides) under Hevea brasiliensis (rubber tree). The record is from RNAcentral. Lineage: Eukaryota; Viridiplantae; Streptophyta; Magnoliopsida; Malpighiales; Euphorbiaceae.